RNAcentral lists this transfer RNA (74 nucleotides) under Hydrogenobaculum phage 1. It matches the Rfam family "tRNA". Rfam says of the family: Transfer RNA (tRNA) molecules are approximately 80 nucleotides in length. The record is from Rfam by way of RNAcentral.
GCCCCUGUAGCUCAACAGGAUAGAGCAUGGGACUUCUAAUCCCAAGGGUGAGGGUUCAAAUCCCUCCAGGGGCU